GAUGUCCCUGCCCAUGGCAGGGGGGUUGGAACUCGAUCUUUAAGGUCCCUUCCAACUCUAACCAUUCUAUGAUUCUACGACUCUUCUUACCUUUUCUGCAAUCUGGCUAUGGGAGUUUCAGGGUCUUCCAAGAGAGGAUAUCACAUUCCUAUCAUGCUCUCCAAGAAGAGGUGUUGAAGCCUGUGUAGUGCCUUGAAGACUAACUUCAUUAUCCUGCUGUGGAAGGGGUAAUUGUGUAUGUGAGCAAUACAGCUUCCUGGUUGUUUGGUUUAACACCACCCAAUGGCCAGAACAGUUAGUCUGAAGUAACACAUCUCUUCCAAAUGUAGUAGAGGCUGCAGCACAGCAGAAGGAAAGAACUAGAGAAGAGUAGUUUCUGGCUAAGGAAAAGCAUACAUUUUUGGGGUUACAGUCCAAGUUAUGGAAUACCAUCUUACAGGAUACUACUACUGUACUUGGUAUCAAAGGAGGACUCCAAUCAGCACAUGAGAGAGAGAUAGUCAGUGACGUCAUGUUAUGUGUUACUCUGAAUACAGCAGUCAUUUAGAGACCUGGCUUUGGGACUCCAGAUACUUCAAAAGGACAAGUGGUUCAGUCGAAGACACUCUUAAAUUAAAGGAGGCAGUGGCUUUCAUUGCAACUCGCUGUGGACUAACUUCCUAUUGGACCAUUGAAUCCUGGAGAUAUCAGUCGUUUAUGUUCCCAACUUCCAGCCUUGUUUAGCUCAGUGCCCUUCGCAGAACAAAGGGUAAUGAAUAGAAUCUUACAUCUCUAGGGGAGCAACCUCAGGCCAAAG
This is a long non-coding RNA of Calidris pugnax (ruff), 796 nucleotides long. RefSeq lists it as uncharacterized. The transcript has 2 exons. Lineage: Eukaryota; Metazoa; Chordata; Aves; Charadriiformes; Scolopacidae. The record is from RefSeq and is a predicted model, not a curated record.